GAAUAAAUCAUCAUUUUUAUUAUUUCUUAUGAACAAGCUAUUUCCCACAGAACAGCAUUGUAAGUAUUAAUUUUAGAAUUAGUGGAAACCAUAAGUAAAGAUCAAUUUUUUAAAGUGAUAAUUCCUCAGAAAUGUAUGUCUUCAGGUCAUAGAAGAUUACCUAUAAGCAAUUGGUCUUGGACAAACAUAAGUUUGUCUUGAAGUUUUAAAGAGCUCUUUUGCCCUGUGAGAAUGACUUAAUAUGAAUAAAAUAGAUUCCUCUGGGUGGAUUGAAAAUAGGUACAUCUCUACUAUGGAAUUCUAAUAAUCUUUUUAUUCACUUAAAAAAUUACAUACAAUAAAAUUAUCAGUAUUCUUUUGAACUUGCUACUUUCUCAAAAUUCAGUUAUCCCAAUAACUUUCAAAGUCUUAAGUUUAAUGAAUUUACAAAGCCUCUUCUUUCAAUACAUUUCCUAACACUUUCUUUUUAUAUGUCUUAUUUUGAAAUAAUAGUCUGUGGACUACUUUAUAAAACAGAGUUUUAUUUCUAUUGGUUGUCUCAAGUCACUUUGCAUAAUGGCGGUUGUAUAAUGAAUGGGGGCAAGAGUGAUAGGCAGUUGUAUCAUAAAUCACUAGCUUGUUGAAGCUCAGGUCCUUUAAAGCAUGCAAGAGAGAACCACCAAUUAUCCAUCUCUCAAGCUGGAUAAAAGCUACACAAACACACUGGAUGGAAACAGACAACAACCAAAUCAGUAUGGCUUUGUUAACUGCUCUGGUGUUAAAUUAGCUCUCUCUCUCUUUUUUUAAAGAUUUUACUAUACUUAGCCCUCUC
This 811-nucleotide long non-coding RNA is filed under the name Bos taurus (domestic cattle). Its description in RNAcentral is "long non-coding RNA NONBTAT020251". The record is from RNAcentral. Lineage: Eukaryota; Metazoa; Chordata; Mammalia; Artiodactyla; Bovidae.